AGUUUUAACUGAGCGUUCAGUUACUUGACGUAGACCCGAAACCGGGCGACCUACCCAUGAGCAGGAUGAAGCGAAAGUAAAAUUUCGUGGAGGUCCGAACCCACGAGCGUUGAAAAGCUCGGGGAUGACUUGUGGGUAGCGGUGAAAUUCCAAUCGAGCCCGGAGAUAGCUGGUUCUCCCCGAAAUAGCUUUAGGGCUAGCCUCAAGGUGAGAGAUACGGAGGUAGAGCACUGAAUGUCCUAGGGGGUAUUGCACCUACCGAAGACUAUCAAACUCCGAAUGCCGUCAUCUUAUACUUGGGAGUCAGACUGUGGGUGAUAAGAUUCAUAGUCGAAAGGGCAACAGCCCAGAUCGUCAGCUAAGGUCCCUAAAUGUAAGUUAAGUGGUAAAGGAUGUGGGAUUGCACAGACAACCAGGAUGUUGGCUUAGAAGCAGCCACUCAUUCAAAGAGUGCGUAAUAGCUCACUGGUCGAGUGAUCCUGCGCCGAAGAUUUCCGGGGCUAAAACUUACUACCGAAGCUACGGCAUCAGUAAUGAUGGGUAGGGGAGCUUCCCAUACGGGUUGAAGCAUGACCGUAAGGACAUGUGGACAGUAUGGGAGUGAGAAUGUUGGCAUGAGUAGCGAGAUGUGGGUGAGAAUCCCACAGGCCGUAAACCCAAGGUUUCCAGGGGAAGGUUCGUCCGCCCUGGGUUAGUCGGGACCUAAGCUGAGGCCGAAAGGCGUAGGUGAUGGACAACAGGUUGAUAUUCCUGUACUACCGAUAACCGUUUGAGAGAAGGGAUGACACAGUAGGAUAAGCUAAGCACACUGUUGGUUAUGUGUGCCCAAGCAUUGAGGCAGUCAAAGUAGGCAAAUCCGCUUUGAUAAUGCUGGGAUGUGAUGGGGAGCGAAAUUUAGUAGCGAAGUAGCUGAUUUCACACUGUCAAGAAAAGUCUCUAUCGAGGUUAAAGGUACCCGUACCGCAAACCGACACAGGUGGGUGAGGAGAGUAUCCUAAGGCCAGCGAGAGAACUGUUGUUAAGGAACUCGGCAAAAUGACCCCGUAACUUAGGGAUAAGGGGUGCCACCAUCAGGUGGCCGCAGAGAAUAGGCCCAAGCGACUGUUUACCAAAAACAUAGGUUUCUGCUAAGUCGCAAGACGAUGUAUAGGAGCUGACGCCUGCCCGGUGCUGGAAGGUUAAGGGGAUCUGUUAGAGCAAUCGAAGCAGUGAACUUAAGCCCCAGUAAACGGCGGCCGUAACUAUAACGGUCCUAAGGUAGCGAAAUUCCUUGUCGGGUAAGUUCCGACCCGCACGAAAGGCGUAACGAUUUGGGCACUGUCUCAACAACAGACUCGGUGAAAUUGUAAUUCCGGUGAAGAUGCCGGAUACCUGCGACAGGACGGAAAGACCCCAUGGAGCUUUACUGUAGCUUGACAUUGGGUCUUGGUACUACAUGUACAGGAUAGGUGGGAGGCUUUGAAACCAGGACGCCAGUUUUGGCGGAGCCAUCCUUGGGAUACCACCCUUGUAGUACUGGGACUCUAACCAUAGGCCAUGAAUCUGGUCUUGGGACACUGUCAGGUGGGCAGUUUGACUGGGGCGGUCGCCUCCCAAAAGGUAACGGAGGCGCUCAAAGGUUCUCUCAGUACGGUCGGAAAUCGUACGUAGAGUGUAAAGGCAAAAGAGAGCUUGAUUGCAAGACAUACAGGUCGAGCAAGGAUGAAAAUCGGACUUAGUGAUCCGGUGGUUCUGCGUGGAAGGGCCAUCGCUCAACGGAUAAAAGCUACCCUGGGGAUAACAGGCUUAUCUCCCCCAAGAGUCCACAUCGACGGGGAGGUUUGGCACCUCGAUGUCGGCUCAUCACAUCCUGGGGCUGUAGUAGGUCCCAAGGGUUGGGCUGUUCGCCCAUUAAAGUGGUACGCGAGCUGGGUUCAGAACGUCGUGAGACAGUUCGGUCCCUAUCCGUCGCAGGCGUAGGAAAUUUGAGAAGACCUGUCCUUAGUACGAGAGGACCGGGAUGGACGUACCUCUGGUGUACCAGUUGUCCUGCCAAGGGCAUGGCUGGGUAGCUAUGUACGGAAUGGAUAAGCGCUGAAAGCAUCUAAGCGCGAAGCCAACUUCAAGAUAAGAUUUCCCACCGCAAGGGUAAGACCCCAGAAAGACUAUCUGGUUGA
This 2156-nucleotide ribosomal RNA is filed under the name Clostridioides difficile. Its description in RNAcentral is "bacterial LSU rRNA". It matches the Rfam family "Bacterial large subunit ribosomal RNA", at positions 680 to 2856 of the family's 2925-position model. Lineage: Bacteria; Bacillati; Bacillota; Clostridia; Peptostreptococcales; Peptostreptococcaceae. The record is from RNAcentral.